UCAUCUGAACACUGAUACAUGAGGAUGUGAGGCAAGUGCAACAAGGAAAAGUGAGGAAAGAAAUUACAUCUGUAACAAAAAUGAGAAAAUAAGGAAUGCAUC
This is a long non-coding RNA of Haliotis rubra (blacklip abalone), 102 nucleotides long. RefSeq lists it as uncharacterized. NCBI's taxonomy places the organism in Eukaryota, Metazoa, Mollusca, Gastropoda, Lepetellida, Haliotidae. The record is from RefSeq and is a predicted model, not a curated record. The transcript has 3 exons.